Molecule: ribosomal RNA, 1935 nt
Filed under: Vibrio cholerae
Lineage: Bacteria; Pseudomonadati; Pseudomonadota; Gammaproteobacteria; Vibrionales; Vibrionaceae
Also listed under: 1 other name
Description: partial 23S ribosomal RNA
Rfam family: Bacterial large subunit ribosomal RNA
Source: RNAcentral
GUCGUGGAGAGGGAAACAACCCAGACCGCCAGCUAAGGUCCCAAAGUAUUGCUAAGUGGGAAACGAUGUGGGAAGGCUCAGACAGCUAGGAUGUUGGCUUAGAAGCAGCCAUCAUUUAAAGAAAGCGUAAUAGCUCACUAGUCGAGUCGGCCUGCGCGGAAGAUGUAACGGGGCUAAGCAAUACACCGAAGCUGCGGCAAUGUCUUUUAGACAUUGGGUAGGGGAGCGUUCUGUAAGCCGUUGAAGGUGAAUCGUAAGGUUUGCUGGAGGUAUCAGAAGUGCGAAUGCUGACAUGAGUAACGACAAAGGGGGUGAAAAACCUCCUCGCCGGAAGACCAAGGGUUCCUGUCCAACGUUAAUCGGGGCAGGGUGAGUCGACCCCUAAGGUGAGGCCGAAAGGCGUAAUCGAUGGGAAACGGGUUAAUAUUCCCGUACUUCUGACUAUUGCGAUGGGGGGACGGAGAAGGCUAGGUGGGCCAGGCGACGGUUGUCCUGGUUCAAGUGCGUAGGCUUGAGAGUUAGGUAAAUCCGGCUCUCUCUAAGGCUGAGACACGACGUCGAGCUACUACGGUAGUGAAGUCAUUGAUGCCAUGCUUCCAGGAAAAGCCUCUAAGCUUCAGAUAGUCAGGAAUCGUACCCCAAACCGACACAGGUGGUCGGGUAGAGAAUACCAAGGCGCUUGAGAGAACUCGGGUGAAGGAACUAGGCAAAAUGGUACCGUAACUUCGGGAGAAGGUACGCUCUUGAUGGUGAAGUCCCUCGCGGAUGGAGCUGACGAGAGUCGCAGAUACCAGGUGGCUGCAACUGUUUAUUAAAAACACAGCACUGUGCAAAAUCGCAAGAUGACGUAUACGGUGUGACGCCUGCCCGGUGCCGGAAGGUUAAUUGAUGGGGUUAGCGCAAGCGAAGCUCUUGAUCGAAGCCCCGGUAAACGGCGGCCGUAACUAUAACGGUCCUAAGGUAGCGAAAUUCCUUGUCGGGUAAGUUCCGACCUGCACGAAUGGCGUAAUGAUGGCCACGCUGUCUCCACCCGAGACUCAGUGAAAUUGAAAUCGCUGUGAAGAUGCAGUGUACCCGCGGCUAGACGGAAAGACCCCGUGAACCUUUACUACAGCUUGGCACUGAACAUUGAACCUACAUGUGUAGGAUAGGUGGGAGGCUAUGAAGACGUGACGCCAGUUGCGUUGGAGCCGUCCUUGAAAUACCACCCUUGUAUGUUUGAUGUUCUAACUUAGACCCAUUAUCUGGGUUGAGGACAGUGCCUGGUGGGUAGUUUGACUGGGGCGGUCUCCUCCCAAAGAGUAACGGAGGAGCACGAAGGUGGGCUAAUCACGGUUGGACAUCGUGAGGUUAGUGCAAUGGCAUAAGCCCGCUUAACUGCGAGAAUGACGGUUCGAGCAGGUGCGAAAGCAGGUCAUAGUGAUCCGGUGGUUCUGUAUGGAAGGGCCAUCGCUCAACGGAUAAAAGGUACUCCGGGGAUAACAGGCUGAUACCGCCCAAGAGUUCAUAUCGACGGCGGUGUUUGGCACCUCGAUGUCGGCUCAUCACAUCCUGGGGCUGAAGUCGGUCCCAAGGGUAUGGCUGUUCGCCAUUUAAAGUGGUACGCGAGCUGGGUUUAGAACGUCGUGAGACAGUUCGGUCCCUAUCUGCCGUGGGCGUUGGAAGAUUGAAGGGGGCUGCUCCUAGUACGAGAGGACCGGAGUGGACGAACCUCUGGUGUUCGGGUUGUGUCGCCAGACGCAUUGCCCGGUAGCUAAGUUCGGAAUUGAUAAGCGCUGAAAGCAUCUAAGCGCGAAGCGAGCCCUGAGAUGAGUCUUCCCUGACAGUUUAACUGUCCUAAAGGGUUGUUCGAGACUAGAACGUUGAUAGGCAGGGUGUGUAAGCGUUGUGAGGCGUUGAGCUAACCUGUACUAAUUGCCCGUGAGGCUUAACCAU